This 563-nucleotide long non-coding RNA is filed under the name Pan troglodytes (chimpanzee). Its description in RNAcentral is "lincRNA". The record is from RNAcentral. Lineage: Eukaryota; Metazoa; Chordata; Mammalia; Primates; Hominidae.
AGUAACCUGGAGAUUGUCAGUGGGGCCUGGGACAAAGGGACCAGAGACAAAGUCUCACUCUGUCACCCAGGCUGCAGUGCAGUGGCACGAUCUCGGCUCACUACAACCUCCACCUCCCAGGUUUAAGCGAUUCUCCUGCCUCAGCCUCCUGAGUAGCUGGGAUUACAGAGUGAAGCCAAAGGCACAGGAAGCACAGCUGGAAUGGGGACAUAGGAACGCGGGGGCUCCCAUGAGUUGACCUGACAGCUGAGAGAUGGCAACCUAGACCUUGGGAACUGACCUAAAAAACACUCAAGAGGACUGAGUCUGGAAAAUGUGAGAAGAAAGUUAAUUUUGGCAAAUUUCUGAGAAAUGAAAAGACGUAUCAACAAGAAAUUUCAUUUCUAAGAGGUCAAAAUAUGCUAUGUUUUCGUGAAUCCAUGAUUCGACCUGAAGAAGAAGGAAAGAACUGGACAUCCAGAUGAGUACAUUGAUAUCGAAGAAAAAAAGAGGAGGGAGCACACAGGUGAGCAGGUGCAGGAACCAGCCGGACAAUUUACCGCCAGCAGGAAUGAACUCCAAGC